This 492-nucleotide ribosomal RNA is filed under the name uncultured bacterium. RNAcentral's name for it is "partial 16S ribosomal RNA". It matches the Rfam family "Bacterial small subunit ribosomal RNA", at positions 29 to 507 of the family's 1533-position model. The record is from RNAcentral.
AGUGAACGCUGGCGGUAGGCCUAACACAUGCAAGUCGAACGGCAGCACAGUAAGAGCUUGCUCUUACGGGUGGCGAGUGGCGGACGGGUGAGGAAUACAUCGGAAUCUACUUUUUCGUGGGGGAUAACAUAGGGAAACUUACGCUAAUACCGCAUACGACCUACGGGUGAAAGCAGGGGAUCUUCGGACCUUGCGCGAUUGAAUGAGCCGAUGUCGGAUUAGCUAGUUGGCGGGGUAAAGGCCCACCAAGGCGACGAUCCGUAGCUGGUCUGAGAGGAUGAUCAGCCACACUGGAACCGAGACACGGUCCAGACUCCUACGGGAGGCAGCAGUGGGGAAUAUUGGACAAUGGGCGCAAGCCUGAUCCAGCCAUACCGCGUGGGUGAAGAAGGCCUUCGGGUUGUAAAGCCCUUUUGUUGGGAAAGAAAAGCAGCAGGUUAAUACCCCGCUGUUCUGACGGUACCCAAAGAAUAAGCACCGGCUAACUUCGUG